UGCUGGAGGUAUCAGAAGUGCGAAUGCUGACAUAAGUAACGAUAAAGCGGGUGAAAAGCCCGCUCGCCGGAAGACCAAGGGUUCCUGUCCAACGUUAAUCGGGGCAGGGUGAGUCGACCCCUAAGGCGAGGCCGAAAGGCGUAGUCGAUGGGAAACAGGUUAAUAUUCCUGUACUUGGUGUUACUGCGAAGGGGGGACGGAGAAGGCUAUGUUGGCCGGGCGACGGUUGUCCCGGUUUAAGCGUGUAGGCUGGUUUUCCAGGCAAAUCCGGAAAACCAAGGCUGAGGCGUGAUGACGAGGCACUACGGUGCUGAAGC
Molecule: ribosomal RNA, 317 nt
Filed under: Escherichia coli
Lineage: Bacteria; Pseudomonadati; Pseudomonadota; Gammaproteobacteria; Enterobacterales; Enterobacteriaceae
Description: partial 23S ribosomal RNA
Rfam family: Bacterial large subunit ribosomal RNA
Source: RNAcentral